Molecule: long non-coding RNA, 144 nt
Organism: Aptenodytes forsteri (emperor penguin)
Lineage: Eukaryota; Metazoa; Chordata; Aves; Sphenisciformes; Spheniscidae
Exons: 2
Source: RefSeq, a predicted model, not a curated record
UGCCGUGUCUGAAGCUGAAGAGGCCAGAGAAAGGUGGAGGACAGCCAAGCGACCGGAGUUACAGAAGAGGAAGGGAGGAGAGAAGGAGAAAGAAAUGUCUGAACUGGCAAAUUCUCCCAGCAGCACCAAGAGCGAGAGCUGCGG